Molecule: non-coding RNA, 91 nt
Organism: Daldinia decipiens
Lineage: Eukaryota; Fungi; Ascomycota; Sordariomycetes; Xylariales; Hypoxylaceae
Source: the annotation of a RefSeq genome assembly
GCCGCACUAGAGAAAUGGUUAACUCGUCGGCCUCCUACUUGUAAGGAUGAAAUAAAGCCGAAGACUCCCGGUUCGAGUCCGGGGUGUGGUG